AGAGUUUGAUCCUGGCUCAGGACGAACGCCGGCGGUGUGCUUCACACAUGCAAGUCGAACGAGGUAGCAAUACCUAGUGGCGGACGGGUGAGUAACGCGUGGGAAUCUGCCUUUAGAUGGGGGAUAACGAGCCGAAAGGUUCGCUAAUACCGCAUAUGCCGCAAGGUGAAAGGAGUAAUCCGUCUAAAGAUGAGCCCGCGUCCGAUUAGCUAGUUGGUGGGGUAAAGGCCUACCAAGGCGACGAUCGGUAGCUGGUCUGAGAGGAUGAUCAGCCACAAUGGGACUGAGACACGGCCCAUACUCCUACGGGAGGCAGCAGUGGGGAAUUUUACGCAAUGGGGGAAACCCUGACGUAGCGACACCGCGUGAGCGAAGAAGCCCCUUGGGGUGUAAAGCUCUGUCAGCUGGAACGAAACAAAUGACGGUACCAGCAGAGGAAGCAUCGGCUAACUACGUGCCAGCAGCCGCGGUAAGACGUAGGAUGCGAGCGUUGUCCGGAUUUAUUGGGCGUAAAGAGUUCGUAGGUGGUUUGUUAAGUUUGAUGUUAAAGAUCGGGGCUCAACCUCGGGACAGCAUUGAAUACUGGCAGACUUGAGUAUGGUAGAGGCUAGUGGAAUUCCCAGUGUAGCGGUGAAAUGCGUAGA
RNAcentral lists this ribosomal RNA (644 nucleotides) under uncultured bacterium. Its description in RNAcentral is "bacterial SSU rRNA". It matches the Rfam family "Bacterial small subunit ribosomal RNA", at positions 8 to 694 of the family's 1533-position model. The record is from RNAcentral.